RNAcentral lists this ribosomal RNA (337 nucleotides) under uncultured bacterium. Its description in RNAcentral is "bacterial SSU rRNA". It matches the Rfam family "Bacterial small subunit ribosomal RNA", at positions 30 to 367 of the family's 1533-position model. The record is from RNAcentral.
AUUGAACGCUGGCGGCAUGCCUUACACAUGCAAGUCGAACGGCAGCACGGGAGCAAUCCUGGUGGCGAGUGGCGAACGGGUGAGUAAUGUAUCGGAACGUACCUUUCAGUGGGGGAUAACGUAGCGAAAGUUACGCUAAUACCGCAUAUUCUGUGAGCAGGAAAGCAGGGGAUCGCAAGACCUUGCGCUGAUUGAGCGGCCGAUAUCAGAUUAGCUAGUUGGUGAGGUAAAGGCUCACCAAGGCGACGAUCUGUAGCGGGUCUGAGAGGAUGAUCCGCCACACUGGAACUGAGACACGGUCCAGACUCCUACGGGAGGCAGCAGUGGGGAAGUUUGU